GCCGGGACCAGAUCCAGCUGAGGCUGAGCGAAACUUCUUCCAAGGCAGCCGGUCAUACUCUACUCUGGGAUCCAAGGAUUCAAAGUUUCAUUGUCGAUGUGGAUAAGAAGCAGCAGCAAGAUAUUUGCACCCUGCCCUUUUUUGUACUUGCAAAAAACGACAGAACGUCAACUGGUGCUGACUGUGCACCAUGAGUCCAUGAAGCUACUGUGUGGUUUUCUGUCCAUUGCUACAGCUGGGCUGAACAGUUACGUGU
RNAcentral lists this long non-coding RNA (256 nucleotides) under Setaria viridis. RNAcentral describes it as "long non-coding RNA (SVIR_LNC002587)". Lineage: Eukaryota; Viridiplantae; Streptophyta; Magnoliopsida; Poales; Poaceae. The record is from RNAcentral.